RNAcentral lists this ribosomal RNA (550 nucleotides) under uncultured bacterium. RNAcentral describes it as "bacterial SSU rRNA". It matches the Rfam family "Bacterial small subunit ribosomal RNA", at positions 86 to 617 of the family's 1533-position model. The record is from RNAcentral.
GCAAGGUGCAUGGCAGACGGGUGAGUAACGCGUGGGGAAUCUACCUCUUAGUGGGGAAUAACGCUCCGAAAGGAGUGGUAAUACCGCAUGAGACCUUUGGCUGGAAUGCUGGAGGUGAAACCUGGGGACCGAAAGGCCUGGGGCUAGGAGAGGAUCCUGCGUCUGAUUAGCUAGUUGGCGGGGUAAUGGCCCACCAAGGCGACGAUCAGUAGCCGGCCUGAGAGGGUGAUCGGCCACACUGGAACUGAGACACGGUCCAGACUCCUACGGGAGGCAGCAGUGGGGAAUUUUGCGCAAUGGGCGAAAGCCUGACGCAGCAACGCCGCGUGGGUGAUGAAGGUCUUCGGACUGUAAAACCCUGUCGUCAGGGACGAAGGUGGCAAGGUUAAUAACCUUGUUGCUUGACGGUACCUGGAGAGGAAGCCCCGGCUAACUCUGUGCCAGCAGCCGCGGUAAUACAGAGGGGGCAAGCGUUAUUCGGAAUUAUUGGGCGUAAAGGGCGCGUAGGCGGUUUUUUAAGUCAGAUGUGUAAUCCCCGAGCUCAACUUGG